CAUUCUAGUGAGUAGGAUGCCACGACAAUUGUAGAACACACAGUGUUUAACAAGUAACCAAUGAGAAUUUCUGAUCUAUCAAUCAGUUGGUAGUAUCGAGGACUACCAAGAUUAUAACGGAUAACGAGGAAUUGGGGUUCGACAUCGGAGAGGGAGCUUUACAGAUGGCUACCACUUCUAAGGAAGGCAGCAGGCGCGUAAAUUACCCACUUUCGAAUUGAAGAGGUAGUGACGACACAUAACUCUAGAGUUGAGUAAAAUCAAUUCUUGAAGGAAUGAGUAGGAGGUAAAUUCUCCUACGAAAUCAAUUGGAGGGCAAGUCUGGUGCCAGCAGCCGCGGUAAUUCCAGCUCCAAUAGUGUAUAUUAAAGUUGCUGUGAUUAAAACGCUCGUAGUUGAAUUAAAAUGUGAUUUUAUACAUUUUGAAGACUUUACAUUAAGUGAAGUUUCUAGAAAUGUUAAAUUAAAAUCAAAGAAGGAGACAAUUCAAGUAAUUGAGUUGUCAUUACUUUGAAUAAAAUAAGGUGUUUAAAGCAAAACAUUAUGUUAAUGAAUAUUCAAGCAUGGGACAAUGCUGAGGAGAUGUCAAUUAGACAUUUCGAGAGAAGGAUUAAAAGGAACAAUUGGGGUGAUUCAGAAAAUAACGGGAGAGGUGAAAAUCCAUGAUCGCUAUAAGAUGCACGAGAGCGAAAGCAUUUCACUCAACUGGGUCCAUUAAUCAAGAACGAAAGUUAGGGGAUCGAAGACGAUCAGAUACCGUCGUAGUCCUAACUAUAAACGAUGUCAACCAAGGAUUGGAUGAAAUUCAGAUGUACAAAAGAUGAAGAAACAUUUGUUUCUAAAU
RNAcentral lists this ribosomal RNA (843 nucleotides) under Entamoeba dispar. RNAcentral describes it as "SSU rRNA". It matches the Rfam family "Eukaryotic small subunit ribosomal RNA", at positions 239 to 1091 of the family's 1831-position model. The record is from RNAcentral. Lineage: Eukaryota; Evosea; Mastigamoebida; Endamoebidae.